RNAcentral lists this unclassified non-coding RNA (263 nucleotides) under plant metagenome. RNAcentral describes it as "partial contains small subunit ribosomal RNA, internal transcribed spacer 1, and 5.8S ribosomal RNA". The record is from RNAcentral.
UUUCCGUAGGUGAACCUGCGGAAGGAUCAUUAUUGUAUAACCGAGGUGCGAGGGCUGUCGCUGACCCGAAAGGUCGUGCACGCCCGAGUGCCCUCACACACAUCCCUCUCACCCCUAUGUGCACCACCGCGUGGUUCCCCCUCUGGCUUGUUCGGAGGGGGGCUUACGUUUUCACACAAACUUUGUAUGCAGUGUAGAAUGUAUUUUUUGUUUUUGCGAUCACGCAAUCAAUACAACUUUCAACAACGGAUCUCUUGGCUCUG